Molecule: non-coding RNA, 84 nt
Organism: Sordaria brevicollis
Lineage: Eukaryota; Fungi; Ascomycota; Sordariomycetes; Sordariales; Sordariaceae
Source: the annotation of a GenBank genome assembly
GGGCAAUUGGUCUAGUGGUAUGAUUUCCGCUUCGCAUAAACUUUGCUUUGUGGAAGGUCGCGGGUUCAAUUCCCGUAUUGUCCA